RNAcentral lists this transfer RNA (82 nucleotides) under Naumovozyma dairenensis CBS 421. Its description in RNAcentral is "tRNA-Tyr (GTA) (tRNA-Tyr-GTA-2-1)". The stretch from base 7 to 68 matches the Rfam family "tRNA", at positions 7 to 64 of the family's 71-position model. Rfam says of the family: Transfer RNA (tRNA) molecules are approximately 80 nucleotides in length. The record is from RNAcentral. Lineage: Eukaryota; Fungi; Ascomycota; Saccharomycetes; Saccharomycetales; Saccharomycetaceae.
GUGACAGUAGCCAAGUUGGUUUAAGGCGCAAGACUGUAAAUCUUGAGAUCGGGCGUUCGACUCGCCCCCGGGAGAAUAUACA